Molecule: transfer RNA, 77 nt
Filed under: Fusobacteriaceae bacterium
Lineage: Bacteria; Fusobacteriati; Fusobacteriota; Fusobacteriia; Fusobacteriales; Fusobacteriaceae
Description: tRNA-Thr
Rfam family: tRNA
About the family: Transfer RNA (tRNA) molecules are approximately 80 nucleotides in length. Their secondary structure includes four short double-helical elements and three loops (D, anti-codon, and T loops).
Source: RNAcentral
GCUUCAGUGGCGCAAUCGGUAGCGCAAGUCCAUGGUAAGGACGAGGUUAUGGGUUCGAGUCCCAUCUCGAAGCACCA